Dreissena polymorpha is the source of this 890-nucleotide long non-coding RNA. RefSeq lists it as uncharacterized. NCBI's taxonomy places the organism in Eukaryota, Metazoa, Mollusca, Bivalvia, Myida, Dreissenidae. The record is from RefSeq and is a predicted model, not a curated record. The transcript is spliced from 3 exons.
GCACUUUUUUCGCACUGCUUUCAGAAACUUGUGUUUACAAUAACACUCGCACAUGGAAAUAUCAUGAAUAUUAGUGACAUGAACACCAUCUUCAGUAAUACUGAACAAACUGACAGUAUUUAACAUGUUUAAUGCACUUUACUCAGGGCAAGAGAUAAGUGUCGUUUUUACGAUUUGAAAUUUACAGAAAACUUUUCAAAUGAAAAACAAUCGUACAAACAACGAUUAUGUAAAUACAGAACAGAUUCUAAUCAGUUAAUAAUCUAUCCGCGCGUCCCGCGUUUAUCACGCACAGAUAUCGAAAUAGACGCAUUGUUUUAAAAUAUUUGUGUCCCAGUGGACGAUUGCUGAAAGGAAUCUGUUAACGCAUACGUUAAUCACGAUAAGUACGAACCCUCUUGGGUACGAGUUACGCUGAGUCUAACAGAAUCAGGCUUCAAUAAUGCAACAAGUCUUUUGAUUGGCUCUAGUUGAGUCCCAGCUGUAUACGAACCAAUUAGAAUCAAACUUUUGAAUAGUGUCGAAAUAGCGGCGCCAUAUUGGAAAAUUUGAUUAAGCUGGUAGCGUGAUCGAUAACCGUGAUUUCUUCAACAAUUACUUUAUAUAAACCUACAAAAACGAUAGCAAUCAAAUGAUUCAAAACAAUUAUGAAUAACAACAGAACUGGAAAUACCCGCGGGCGCGGGAGACCAAAGAAACGACAGUUUCAACAGAAAAAGGAAGGAAGACCAGAUGAUGUUGUUAAAAAGGAUAAGUAUAUGGUUUCUCAGUCUACCACACAGGAAAGUAUAGAAAUAUCCAAUGCUAAUACAAAUGUAAAUAAAACAACACAAAUUUUAACUUUACAAAAUUUGCUUACUCUUGGCCCAAUUAAUGUUUUGUCCGUCACA